Molecule: ribosomal RNA, 258 nt
Filed under: uncultured bacterium
Lineage: Bacteria
Description: partial 16S ribosomal RNA
Rfam family: Bacterial small subunit ribosomal RNA
Source: RNAcentral
GACAGAGGUGCCAAGCGUUAGGCGGAAUCACUGGGCUUAAAGCGUGUGUAGGCGGACCUGUAAGUGCCUUGUGAAAUCCCAUGGCUCAACCAUGGAACGGGCUGGGGCAUACUGCGGGUCUGAGCGUGUCUAGGGGCAACCGGAACAAACGGGUGGAGCGGUGAAAUGCGUAGAUAUCGUUUGGAACGCCAAAGGUGAAAACAGGUUGCUGGGGACAUGCUGACGCUGAGACACGAAAGCCAGGGGAGCGAAACGGGG